GAGAGUUUGAUUCUGGCUCAGGACGAACGCUGGCGGCGUGCCUAAUACAUGCAAGUAGAACGCUGACUACUUUAGCUUGCUAGAGUAGAAGGAGUUGCGAACGGGUGAGUAACGCGUAGGUAACCUGCCUACUAGCGGGGGAUAACUAUUGGAAACGAUAGCUAAUACCGCAUAACAGUGUUUAACACAUGUUAGAUGCUUGAAAGAUGCAAUUGCAUCACUAGUAGAUGGACCUGCGUUGUAUUAGCUAGUUGGUGGGGUAACGGCCCACCAAGGCGACGAUACAUAGCCGACCUGAGAGGGUGAUCGGCCACACUGGGACUGAGACACGGCCCAGACUCCUACGGGAGGCAGCAGUAGGGAAUCUUCGGCAAUGGGGGCAACCCUGACCGAGCAACGCCGCGUGAGUGAAGAAGGUUUUCGGAUCGUAAAGCUCUGUUGUAAGAGAAGAACGUGUGUGAGAGUGGAAAGUUCACACUAGUGACGGUAACUUACCAGAAAGGACGGCUAAUA
Molecule: ribosomal RNA, 513 nt
Filed under: Streptococcus equinus
Lineage: Bacteria; Bacillati; Bacillota; Bacilli; Lactobacillales; Streptococcaceae
Description: bacterial SSU rRNA
Rfam family: Bacterial small subunit ribosomal RNA
Source: RNAcentral